CCUACGGGAGGCAGCAGCCAGGAAUCUUGGGCAAUGGGCGAAAGCCUGACCCAGCAACACCGUGUGGGUGAUGAAGGCCUUAGGGUCGUAAAGCCCUGUUGAUAGGGACGAAGGGCGAAGGGUUAAUAGCCCCUAGCUUGACGGUAGCUUUCGAGGAAGCCCCGGCUAACUACGUGCCAGCAGCCGCGGUAAUACGUAGGGGGCGAGCGUUGUCCGGAAUUAUUGGGCGUAAAGAGCGUGUAGGCGGUUCGGUAAGUCUGCUGUGAAAUCCUGGGGCUCAACCCUGGGCGUGCAGCGGAUACUGCCGGGCUAGAGGGUGGUAGAGGCGAGUGGAAUUCCGAGUGUAGCGGUGAAAUGCGCAGAUAUUCGGAGGAACACCAGUAGCGAAGGCGGCUCGCUGGGCCACACCUGACGCUGAGACGCGAAAGCGUGGGGAGCGAACAGGAUUAGAUACCCUGGUAGUCCACGCCGUAAACGAUGGAUACUGGGUGUGGGCGGAGUCGAAUCUGUCUGUGCCGAAGUUAACGCGUUAAGUAUCCCGCCUGGGGAGUACGGCCGCAAGGCUAAAACUCAAAAGAAUUGACGGGGGCCCGCACAAGCAGCGGAGCAUGUUCUUUAAUUCGAUGCAACGCGAAGAACCUUACCUGGACUUGACAUGGGGCUGCAAGCGCACGGAAACGUGUGACCUUCGAGGGUGCCUCACAGAUGCUGCAUGGCUGUCGUCAGCUCGUGUCGUGAGGUGUUGGGUUAAGUCCCGCAACGAGCGCAACCCCUGUGGUGUGUUGCCAGCAUUAAGUUGGGGACUCACACCAGACUGCCGGUGACGAACCGGAGGAAGGUGGGGACGACGUCAAGUCAUCAUGGCUCUUACGUCCAGGGCUAGAACGUGCUACAAUGGCCGGGACAGUGGGUUGCCAAGCCGCGAGGCGGAGCGAAUCCCCCAAACCCGGUCUCAGUUCGGAUCGUGGGCUGCACCCGCCCACGUGAGCUGGAGUCGCUAGUACCGCGGGUCAGCACUACCGCGGUGAAUACG
RNAcentral lists this ribosomal RNA (1033 nucleotides) under uncultured bacterium. RNAcentral's name for it is "bacterial SSU rRNA". It matches the Rfam family "Bacterial small subunit ribosomal RNA", at positions 338 to 1370 of the family's 1533-position model. The record is from RNAcentral.